RNAcentral lists this microRNA (21 nucleotides) under Plutella xylostella (diamondback moth). Its description in RNAcentral is "pxy-miR-9a". Its record names the gene pxy-miR-9a. Lineage: Eukaryota; Metazoa; Arthropoda; Insecta; Lepidoptera; Plutellidae. The record is from miRBase by way of RNAcentral.
UAAAGCUAGGUUACCGGAGUU